Molecule: ribosomal RNA, 214 nt
Filed under: uncultured bacterium
Lineage: Bacteria
Description: partial 16S ribosomal RNA
Rfam family: Bacterial small subunit ribosomal RNA
Source: RNAcentral
UAGGGAAUCUUCCACAAUGGACGCAAGUCUGAUGGAGCAACGCCGCGUGAGUGAAGAAGGUUUUCGGACCGUAAAGCUCUGUUGUUGGUGAAGAAGGAUAGAGGUAGUAACUGGCCUUUAUUUGACGGUAAUCAACCAGAAAGUCACGGCUAACUACGUGCCAGCAGCCGCGGUAAUACGUAGGUGGCAAGCGUUGUCCGGAUUUAUUGGGCGU